This 463-nucleotide ribosomal RNA is filed under the name Platypelis karenae. RNAcentral describes it as "partial 16S ribosomal RNA". It matches the Rfam family "Bacterial large subunit ribosomal RNA", at positions 1796 to 2488 of the family's 2925-position model. The record is from RNAcentral. Lineage: Eukaryota; Metazoa; Chordata; Amphibia; Anura; Microhylidae.
CCGCCUGUUUACCAAAAACAUCGCCUCUUGACAAAAUAUAAGAGGUCCAGCCUGCCCGGUGACCCACGUUAAACGGCCGCGGUACCCUAACCGUGCGAAGGUAGCACAAUCACUUGUUCUUUAAAUUAGGACCAGUAUGAAUGGCCCCACGAGAGCUAUACUGUCUCCCCCCUUUAAUCAAUGAAACUGAUCUCCUCGUGAAGAAGCGAGGAUAACCAUAUAAGACGAGAAGACCCCAUGGAGCUUUAAACUUGUGUCACUGACUUACAUAAAUCAACAAGCUUGGACAAGUAAUGACCACAAGUCUUUCGGCUGGGGCGACCACGGAGAAAAACUAAACCUCCAUGAUGAAAGGAACAAUCCUAAUCAAAGAGCUACUGCUCAACGAAUCAAUAAAAUGACAUAUUGACCCAAACAUUUUUGACCAACGAACCAAGUUACCCUGGGGAUAACAGCGCAAUCC